GAUGAAGAACGCAGUGAAAUGCGAUACGUAAUGUGAAUUGCAGAAUUCAGUGAAUCAUCGAGUCUUUGAACGCACAUUGCGCCCCUUGGUAUUCCAUGGGGCAUGCCUGUUCGAGCGUCAUUUGUACCUUCAAGCUUUGCUUGGUGUUGGGUGUUUGUCUCGCCUUUGCGUGUAGACUCGCCUUAAAAUAAUUGGCAGCCGGCGUAUUGAUUUCGGAGCGCAGUACAUCUCGCGCUUUGCACUCAUAACGACAGCGUCCAAAAGUACAUUUUACACUCUUGACCUCGGAUCAGGUAGGGAUACCCGCUGAACUUAAGCAUAUCAAUAAGCGGAGGA
Molecule: unclassified non-coding RNA, 336 nt
Filed under: soil metagenome
Description: partial contains 5.8S ribosomal RNA, internal transcribed spacer 2, and large subunit ribosomal RNA
Rfam family: 5.8S ribosomal RNA (bases 1-120)
Source: RNAcentral